RNAcentral lists this ribosomal RNA (253 nucleotides) under uncultured bacterium. RNAcentral's name for it is "partial 16S ribosomal RNA". It matches the Rfam family "Bacterial small subunit ribosomal RNA", at positions 524 to 776 of the family's 1533-position model. The record is from RNAcentral.
UACGGGGGGAGCAAGCGUUGUUCGGAUUUACUGGGCGUAAAGGGCGCGUAGGCGGCGCAACAAGUCACUUGUGAAAUCUCCGGGCUUAACCCGGAGCGGCCAAGUGAUACUGUCGUGCUAGAGUGCGGAAGGGGCUACUGGAAUUCUCGGUGUAGCGGUGAAAUGCGUAGAUAUCAAGAGGAACACCUGCGGCGAAGGCGGGUUGCUGGGCCGACACUGACGCUGAAGUGCGAAAGCUAGGGGAGCGAACGGG